RNAcentral lists this non-coding RNA (117 nucleotides) under Homo sapiens (human). Lineage: Eukaryota; Metazoa; Chordata; Mammalia; Primates; Hominidae. The record is from Rfam by way of RNAcentral.
GCUGGGCGCGGUGGCUCAUGCCUGUAAUCCCAGCACUUUGGGAGGCUGAGGCAGGAGGAUCACCUGAGGUCAGGAGUUUGAGACCAGCCUGGCCAACAUGGUGAAACCCUGUCUCUU